Long non-coding RNA from Melitaea cinxia (Glanville fritillary), 400 nucleotides. RefSeq lists it as uncharacterized. Lineage: Eukaryota; Metazoa; Arthropoda; Insecta; Lepidoptera; Nymphalidae. The transcript is spliced from 2 exons. The record is from RefSeq and is a predicted model, not a curated record.
UGUAUUUCAAUAGAUUUUGCCCGAGAGCGCGUUAGAACAUAAAUACGAGCUGCUACGUGAAUACAGUGUGCUGGUAUAUUUUAAGCGUUAUGUUAAUGAAGAAACGUUUGGCGGUAUCCCAAGCCUCGAUGCCACUAGAGCAGUUUAUACUCAACAGCGCGAAAUGCCUUUUAAGCGGAAAGCGAAGCUUCCAAAGAGCAUUAGGAAUAAUUCCAGGAAGAUGCUUGAUGCUGCCGAAUAUGUGCCAAGUCACUUUUCGAUUGGUCGUAAAGUGGUACUUUUCAAUGGCAUUAACAAUAUCGAUUGUAUCGAAGUAUGUUGUUGUUUAGGUAUUUUUAUUUAUAUGUUAUUGUUUGUAUAGUAUAUCGAAUAUCGAAUAAAAUACAACUUAUUCCAAGUA